GAAGGGGGCUAGCGUUGUUCGGAAUUACUGGGCGUAAAGCGCGCGCAGGCGGUCUUCCAAGUCAGUGGUGAAAGCCCGGAGCUCAACUCCGGAACUGCCAUUGAAACUGUAAGACUUGAGGAUGAGAGAGGUGAGUGGAAUUCCCAGUGUAGAGGUGAAAUUCGUAGAUAUUGGGAAGAACACCGGUGGCGAAGGCGGCUCACUGGCUCAUUACUGACGCUCAGGCGCGACAGCGUGGGGAUCAAACAGGAUUAGAUACCCUGGUAGUCCACGCCGUAAACGAUGAAUGCUAGCCGUUGGGCAGCUUGCUGUUCAGUGGCGCAGCUAACGCAUUAAGCAUUCCGCCUGGGGAGUACGGCCGCAAGGUUG
RNAcentral lists this ribosomal RNA (369 nucleotides) under uncultured bacterium. RNAcentral's name for it is "bacterial SSU rRNA". It matches the Rfam family "Bacterial small subunit ribosomal RNA", at positions 527 to 896 of the family's 1533-position model. The record is from RNAcentral.